UUGUGGAAGAGUACUCACUGGACACCCGCAUGCCUCGGCGGAAUACCUCGUACAUGGUCCGUGCGUCACUGUAGUAGUGCGUCAUGUGCUCGUCGUUGUUAUUCAGAAUGGACCGCCUGACGUAACCGUCACCCUGUGAGGAGAGCGAGGUAUCGUUAAGAAGUUCGGUUUUAAGAAUGUUUUGAAAUGCAAAUUGCAUUUCACAUCGAACAGUAUGUGCCACUGAAAUAACUGAUCCACUUAGAACCGGGGUGGACAGGACAGUCUUACCCUGUGAGGGCUGGUGUGUGCGCAGACUUCUGUUCUAGCCAAGCAGCAACACACCUAAUUCAAAUUAUCUUCAAUUAAGAAUUUGGUUAUGAUUAAGCUUGGCAGGAACAAAGGCAUGCAUCCACAUCGGUCCUUGCAGGGGGAAGAUUUAUUGCCCAUCACUCAAAUCAGAGCAGUUUUAAUCAAUCUUGGUCCUGGGGCCCACAGGGUGUGCCGGCUUUUGUUCCAACACAGUAUGAACACACCCGAUUCAAUUAAUCAAGGGCUCGAUCCAUUGAAAUGAAAAUGUUACUGCUGGGCAGGAACAAAAUGCUUGUUCACUGUGUGUAUCCCAAGGACCAUGGUAAAAAAAAAAAAACUGAAAGAAUCAGUUAGUCUGAACAAAGGCAAUAACUGUUUUUACCGUGCUUCUUAACUUCCUGCAUUCAAACCAACCAUGAGUCGCAAGUCUUAGCUAAAAUAGAGAGUAACUAUGUUUGUCAUGCUCUCUGUGUAACCCUUGUGUUAAAAUAUUGCAAGUGGCAUAGCAGCUACACUCAGGAAUCACUUUUAGGUAACUUGCUGAAAUGCCGAACAUCCAAAAGGCACUCCCCAGAUCCUAUUUUGGCCACAAUUGAGACAAUUCAGACUGCCUUGACAGAGACACACACUUGAUUGUCGUGGUUGUGUGCCAUAUUUAUAAUCGCAGUUCGGUCACACGCGCACGUGACCUUUCUUAUGGAUACCUAAAAAGUAUUCUUUGGAGCAAGAGAAUCAGCACAGAUUGCAGGUUAUUUACUUGGCUGCAGACUGGUUUCGUGCAAAACAAUGGGUACGGUAGGACCCAUGUUAGCAUACUCCAAAUAGCAUGGGUUCACGUUUUAGUCAUAUGUAUGGAAAACACAUGUUAUACGUCGCCAAACGAAACACUUACUUGAAAGUUACUUUGACAUGCAACAAUAAUAAAAGAUAAGAAUAGAAAGUAAAUGGCAUAAAGUAUAAUACAGGAAGGCAAAAUUUAUAGUCCAAUAUUUACAUGUGUAUUGGAGAAGGAUGGGGUAAGUAUAUAAAAUUGAGCAUGCUUGAGAAUUCUGCUCCAGCCAUUACCACAAGCCCAUCCUCCCCAAUUAACUGUGCCCUAGACACUGAGCCAAGGCCAGUUUUGUAUUUGGUUAAGGUCUGAAUUGUUGUGUAACAACCUAGAUCUGUUCCUACAGGGAACUUCUACCCAGAGUGAGAUGGGAGGCUGAUACAAUUAUCUUCCAGACAGAGUAAAAAAAACAACAGGGCUACCAUAGACAACGGAGUACCAUAGAGCUCACACAGUGAGACAAUGUAACCUAGCCCACUAAGCCAGGCUAACCAAUGACAGAGGACUGUUGGACUACAGACACAGCUAAGAAAACUGCACUACCCAGGUCUACAGCCCUGUUAGGUCACUCACUCAACUCCUUCAAUGCAAUAGACAGAAAAAAAAAAAAAAAAAAAAAAAAACAGGCAACCCUGUACUUUAAAAACAUACAUUGGUAUGUGUCUUUAUGGGGUAUUUUGUGUAGAUUGUUGAGGAUUUAAAAAUUUAUUUAAUACAUUUUAGAAUAAUGCUGUAAUGAAACAAAAUGUGGAAAAGGGCAAGGGGUCUGAAUAUUUUACGAAGGCACUGUAUAUACACACACAAAAGUAUGUGGACACCCCUUCAAAUUAGUGGAUUUGGCUAGUUCAGCCACACCCGUUUCAGACUGGUGUAUAAUUAUUCUAAUUUUUUUUUUUUUUUAAUUCGAGCACAGUCAUGUAAUAUCCAGUCAAACUUUGGCAGUAGAAGGUUUUACUUUAGAGCUCAUUGACUUUAUUUUAGGCAUAGUUCGACAACAUCCGGUGAAAAUUGGAGGGCGUGCAAUUCAAAUAAUUGUAAUAUUAAAACAUACAAGUAUCUUAUAUCAUUUAAAAGCUUAAAUUCUUGUUAAUCUAACUGCGCUGUCCGAUUUACAAUAGGCUUUACAGCGAAAGCAUACCCUGCGAUUGUCUGAGGACGGCGCCCCACAUCAACAUAUUUUACAACCAGCACAGGCUUCAUGUAUUUAUUUAAAAAAAAAAAAAUUAAAUGUCACAAAUAGCGAUUAAAUAAAUCGCUUACUUUUGAAAAUCUUCCUGUUUGAAAUCCCAAGGGUCGCAGCUACAACAUGAAUGGUUGUUUUGUUAGAUCAAAUCCUUCUUUAUAUCCCAAAAAGUAUGUUUAGUUGCGCCAUCGAUUUCAGUAAUCCACUCGUUCAACAUGCAGACAAAGGAGUCCAAAAAGCUACCGCUAAACUUUGUUCAAACAAGUCAAGCUCCAUUUUUAUUUAAUCUUCAGGUAUCCUAAAAUGUAAAUAAACUAUAAUAUUUCAUACGAAAAGUAGUAUGUUCAAUAGAAAAGGAAAAUUAGUAAGCGCGCGUCCUCUUCCUCGCACGCCAACAGACCGGUAUAUUGUACCGGGAGGCUAUGUACAAAAACUCUAAUUCUUGCUAGUUUGAAGAAACAAGCCUGAAACCUUUCAAAGACUUGACAUCUAGUGGAAGCCAUAGGAAUGGCAAUCUGGGAGCUAGAAUUGCAUAGGACCCAUAGCUUCCCAUAAUAAGAGCCUGCGAGCUAAGAAGUUACUUCACUAGGGUAGGGAGCAGCGUUCAGAAUUUUGGAUGAAAAGCGUGCCCAAAUUAAACUGCCUGCUACUCAGGCCCAUAAGCUAGGAUAUGCAUAUAAUUAGUAGAUUUGAAUAGAAAACUCUAGUUUCCAAAACUGUUAAAAUAAAUAAUGUCUGUGAGUAUAACAGAACUGAUAUGGCAGAAAAAAAACAGAGGAAAAUCCAACCAGGAAGUACUAUUAUUUUGAAACGCUGUUUUUCCAUUGAAAGCCUAUCCACCAUACAAAGUCUUAGGGCCCAGUUCACGAGCUCUGUGUCUUCCUCUACAUGUGGCCAGUCUUUAGGCAUUGUUUCGGGCUUUUACUCUGAAAAAUUAGGGAGAUACAGCACUUUCAAAUAAGUGGCCAGUGGAAAUUUCCAGCCAUGAGUCGUGCGCCUGAUUGGGAACGCGCCCUUGUUUCUCUUUUUCUAUUGGACGAAGCUUUUGUCCGGUUGAAAUAUUAUUGAUUAUUUAUAAAAACAACAACCGGAGGAUUGAUUUUAAACAUCGUUUGGCAUGUUGACUAACUUUUAUUUUACUUUAAAAAAAAUUUGUCUGGACUUAGUGCACACGCCUUGAACAUUCUGAUUACUUGACAAAACGCGAACACAAGAGGUUUUUGGUCAUAAAGAGGGACAUUAUCGAACAAAACAAACAUUUGUCUAACAUGGAGACCUGGGAGUGCCACCAGGUGAAGAUCAAAGGUAAGUGAUUAAUUUUAAUGCUAUUUCUGACUUGUGACACCUCUCCUUGGUAGAAAAAUGGCUGUAUGUUUCUGUGGCUAGGCGCAGACCUAACAUAAAUCGCAAAGUGUGCUUUCACCGUAAAGCCUUUUUGAAAUCUGACACAGCGUUUGCAUUAAGGAGAAGUUUUUUAUUUGUAUGUUUAACACUUGUAUCGUUUAUCAAUGUUUAUGAUGAGUAUUUCUGUAUUUGAUGUGGCGCUCUGCACUUUCACCUGAUGUUUGAGACAAUGCAUUUCUGAACAUAACGCGCCAAUGUAAACUAAGAUUUUUGGAUAUAAAUAUGAACUUUACCGAACAAAACAUACAUGUAUUGUGUAACAUGAAGUCCUAUGAGUGCCAUCUGAUGAAGAUCAAAGGUUAGUGAUUCAUUUUCUCUAUUUCUGCUCUUUGUGACUCCUCUCUUUGGCUGGAAAAAUGGCUGUAUGGUUCUGUGACUAGGUGCUGACCUAACAUAAAUCGCAAAGUGUGCUUUCGCAGUAAAGCCUUUUUGAAAUCGGACACCGUGGUUGGAUUUACAAUUGUAUCUUUAAAAUGGUGCAUAAUACUUAUAUGUUUAAGGAAUUUUAAUUAUGGGAUUUCUGUUAUUUUGAAUUUGGCGCCCUGCAAUUUCAUUGGCUGUUACCUCUCUGGUACCAGAGAGGUAACGUGGCACCAUCAUAGGGUGCCACCAUUCAAUUUGUUACAUUUCUGCCCUGCUAGAGCUGCCCCGGUCAACUGUAAGUGCUGUUAUUGUGAAGUGGAAACGUCUAGGAGCAACAACAGUUCCGCAGCGGAAUGUGAUCCGAGUGCUGAAGCGCGUAAAAAUAGUCUGUCCUCGGUUGCGAUACUCACUACCAAGUUUCAAACUGCCUCUGGAAGCAACGCCAGCACAAGAACUGUUCGUUAGGAGCUUCAUGAAAUGGAUUUCCAUGGGCGAGCAGUCGCACACAAGACUAAGAUCACCAUGUGCAAUGCCAAAUGUCGGCUGGAGUGGUGUAAAGCUCACCGCCAUUGGACUCUGGAGCAGUGAAAACACAUUCUCUGGAGUGAUGAAUCACCCUUCACCAUCUGUCAGUCUGACAGACUGAUCUGGGUUUGGCGGAUGCCAGGAGAACGCUACUUGCUCCAAUGCAAACUGUAAAGUUUGGUGGAGGAGGAAUAACGGUCUGGGACUGUUUUUCAUGGUUCAGUGAAGGGAAAUCUCAACGUUACAGCAUACAAUGACAUUUUAGAUGAUUCUGUGCUUCCAACUGUGGUAACAGUUUGGAGAAGACCCUUUCCUGUUUCAGCAUGACAAUGCCUCCAUGUACAAAACGAGGUCCAUCCACAAAUUGUGUGUCAAGAUCGGUGUGGAAGAACUUAAAAUGGCCUGCACAGAGCCUUGACCUCAACCCCAUCAAACACCUUUGGGAUGAAUUGGAAUACCGACUGCGUGCCAGGCCUAAUUGCCCAACAUCAGUGCCCAACCUCACUAAUGCUUGUGGCUGAAUGGAAGCAAGUCCCUGCAGCAAUGUUCUUAGAUCUAGAGGAAAGCCUUACCAGAAAAACAGAGAAUAAGGGGAACCAACUCCAUAUUAAUGCCUAUGAUUUUGGAAUGAGAUGUUCAACAAGGUGGUGUCCACAUGUAGCGCAAUUCAAAUCAAUAUUCUCAAAAACAGUCCUGCAGCAUUAGGUAGCCUAGUGGUUAGAGCAUUGGGCCAGUAACCGAAAGGUUGCUCGAACGAAUCCCCGAGCUGACAUGGUAAAAAUCUGUCGUUCUUCCCCUGAACAAGGCCGUUAACCCACUGUUCCUAGGACGUCAUUGUAAAUAAGAAUUUGUUCUUAACCGACUUGCCUAGUUAAAUAAACAAUUAUUUGUUUUGCGUAAUGAGGGUGGGGGAACUGUACAGUGUGUACACCAACUUUAAUCCAAACUCCUUCCCUCUAUUGAUACUAACUCCUCAUUCCCGAUAAUUUCCCUCCAGGGACCAGAAAUUGGCCCAUGAACUCUAAUACACCAGCUUCCCCCUUCGGGCCUGUCAUGCCAAAUAAUGUCCCCUGGCCAAAUAGUGUCCCCCUCUACGCCACAAUGGGAUUCGAUGAGUUCAAACUUCUGUUGCUAGAAAUUGCAACAUUCUGACUGGAUUACGUAAUGAACCAAAGCGUCCGUUGCUAUGCUGGUUGCUUGGUUACUUCGUAGCGGUCACGAAGGAAGGAGGUUCUACUUCUAUUUCACCUCAGAAGCGCUCGAUCAGUCCUAGCAAAAUUAUUACAUGAGCUGUUUUUAAAUAGAUUUUAUAUUGACAUUGCUAGUUACUCAUUUACCUCAGCUAAACAGCUGUCUGGCUAAGUUAGCUUGCUAGUUGUUAUUGUAGCUGCUUUCUGUUCGUAUGUAUAGUAACUUGCACUUUAAUGUCAUUUCUUUCAUCUUUCCAACUAACGUUAGGCGAAGUACUAUGAAGGCACCACUGAUCUCGAGAAGAGGCGCAAAAUUCGUAGGGGGCAGAGAAUUUCACAAUUCAGGUUAACGUUAAGCAGUUCAUUUAUAUUACAGUUACUGUUAAGAUAUCAUUUCAGUUAAGUACAACCAUUUUUCAUCUAGCUAACAUUAGUUGGUCAUCUACAUGUUGCUACCGAACUUUAUAGGUCUGUCACAUUGAGGUAACGCAAUUAAUUAAAUCAAAUGGACAGGUGUAAACAAUUAUGGUAACUCCAACUGCCCUUAAUAGGUGUCACUAGGUGAAAGAGACCCAUAAAGAAAGAGCAAGAAAGAGAGGUGAGGAGUGAGCACGAGAGAAACAAAGCAGUGCAAAUUUACUUAAUUAGUAUUUCAACAACUCUCGUCUUCAAACUUGGUAGGCAAUCACAUGUACCUAUGGGGGAAGGAUGGCCAGCCACACAGGAGGGUGAUUUUCACUAAGGACAAGGAGGCUGUGCUGACAGAUGCAUGCUGGACAUUUAAUAUGAAAUAUAUUUGUUAUCAAUCAAGAUGAGACUGAACAUCAACAAGGCACAGGAUAAGCAGAGCGAAAGACUUGGUUUGGAAGAAGGACGAAAGGAAGGAGAGACCUGGGAAAACUCACUGCUCUUUAGCUCCAAGCUGGGGUCAUCAUCCGUUAAAGGUUACCUCGGUGGAAGCCAAAAACCUUCUCCAGUUGGAGCAGUUGGACGGUCGACCACAAAGCCCUGAUGCCCUACAUUUCGGUGAAGCCCGUGAGACAAAGUACGUUAAGCUUUGGUUGACAUUUAAGCAAGAAUUGGUGGUUAUGCUGAGCUCAUAAAAAUGUACCUCUUAAAUUUCUCUCCAAUUGACUUUAGGACAGUCAACUGUCCGAGCCACCCAGGAAGUAUCCCAUCCACCAGAGCCAGGGAGUUCGGAUGAGUCUGAUUUUCUGUGCUCUGAGUCGGAAGGGGACCAGCUUGAGGUAGUCUAUACCUCAAGUACAUAUCUCCCCUUCAUAACACUGCACUCACUAAUCCAUCAAAUGUCCUUACAGGUGGCUUGCGUCAGACUGGAGGAACAGGGGCAGGUAAGUCCAGUCAUUGGAUUAGAAGACAUUAGUGAGUUUCUCAUCACUAGUGUCCAAAAGGGACAGGUAAGGCCAGCUGCUCUGUGGCCGGAUGCAGGACCUUCGGGGGGGGUCAUUCUUCCGUCACACCCCUGGUUAGACAAUUUUACAAUUGAUCAUGCUCAAGCUCUUUUGCAGGUGCAGCAUCCAGAAUUAGGAGGCCUCCUCACAGUGAGCAGCAUCGCCAUGCUGUCAGCAGUACCAACACUGGCUCAGGGGUUUGUCCAGGUAGUCAAUCUCAAGGCUAACCACUGGGUCACAGUAAGUAACCGUCGCUGCCAGGUAGGUAUGUGGUGGUGUAUGACACCACCCCAGAGUUUCUCACAACUCACCUCUCCCUUAUCUUUUCCAGGGACCUCUGUGACUGGAGUGGCUGACAGUCCGGCAGUAGAAAGUGGGCACAGAUUGUGGGUUGUUUGCCAUUGCAAACACUUACUCUGCAGAGAUGAGGAACGCUCCAUGGCACGAUACCAUCAGAAAUCCAUGAGAAAACAUUCUCUUGUUUUCAGGCUGGGCACCUGGUACCAGCUCCCAGUCCCGAUUCCAUUUCCCGUCCAGGAAAUGCGGUUUUCAUGUGUGGUUGUCAGUGAGUUUGUCUGUUCAUCGUCCGUCAUCUGUUUUGUCUGAUAUUUCCCCCACACUUGUUUUCACUGCUUGGCCAGCGCUCCACCUCAAGACGGUAGGUAUUUUACUACAUUGCAUCUUGUUGUACAUUGUAUGUUAUUGUAAAUAACCUUAAUAGCAUGUAUUGUAUAAAGAUGUGUUUUAUUGCAGACAUUGGCUGUGAAGUUGGUAAGUAUAUAGCAUAUGUAUUUGUCUUGUAUUCUAAGUAAUGUUUACAAGCAUGUAAAUAUUUGUAUAUUUUUCCAUUUGUUUGCUGAUAAAUAUUUGAAACUUGCUCAAAUUGGCUGUAAAUGUACACAUUUGCAUAUGAAAAUGUAUUCAUUGCAAGAAAUUCUCAAUUGACUGUUCAAUUGCCCAAUUACUUACUGGUCCUUAACCCCUUCUCCCUAACCAUUCAUCUUUUGUGUCCAAUUCCAAAUCAACAUUAGGCCAGGGUUGGUAUGGAAUUGGACAUUGGUUUCUAGUUAGUGUUUGCAUAUCUGGAGGUUCUAGAUUUGUGUAUGUAUUAUGGCAUAAGUCUCCCAGAGUCCAUUACACAGCAGGGCUGAGUUAUCACCAUAUUGCUUCAUCUAUCCAAGCCCCAUCAGGUCAAUCACUACAAAGAGUGGGGGUUAAAGGCAUCAAUUAUAAACAAAAUCCUUCUCUGCCUGUACCUUGACGUGGUCAGAGGGCUUCCAACUAAACCAGGCCCACGUUAUUGAACCCAUGACUGAGAUUGGCUGCCUGUCGAGGGCGAGUGACAGGAAGAACUAGCCGCAGCACCUGAUCAAGCGCUCUCGAUUCUGCCCCAUUUCUCAUCCUUUAACUCUCUCUCCCUCCAGACGAAAUUCUACAUCUGGUGACUCCUGAUUGUUGGGCAAUCUUCCCAUCCCCAUCAUCUCAAGCUACUGUUAUUGUCAUGUUAUCUGCUAAUGAAGUUUGAUAGCCGUAUCAUACAGGGCACAUAUUGUGAAAUACACUGAUGAACUAAAAAACCACUAGCACUGCAAACACUCAGAACAAAGAGAGCAGGAGGGCUCCCUUCCAAGACUGCAUGUUGAGAACAAGUGACAGGCAGAACCUCCCAACCACACAGCACCCACCUCUUUAUUCCACACACCAGAAUGAAGUAUUUCAGUCUGAUUGUCAUGUGUACAAUUUUUUUUAUCUAAAAAUAAAUUAGACACCAAAAAACGA
Molecule: long non-coding RNA, 8976 nt
Organism: Salvelinus fontinalis (brook trout)
Lineage: Eukaryota; Metazoa; Chordata; Actinopteri; Salmoniformes; Salmonidae
Exons: 2
Source: RefSeq, a predicted model, not a curated record